CCUACGGGAGGCAGCAGUGGGGAAUUUUGCGCAAUGGGCGAAAGCCUGACGCAGCAACGCCGCGUGCAUGUUGAACCCUUCGGGGUGUAAAAUUCUGUCAAUCGGGGCAAAUUUUUACUGUACCUAUACAGCACUCCCCGGCUACCUCCGUUCCAGCCGCCACGGGAAUACGUGGGGUGCAAGCGUUGUCCGGAAUCAUGGGGCGUAAAGCGUUCGUAGGCGGCAAGGUAAGUCUGAUGUUAAAGCCCGGGGCGCAACGCCGGGUCUGCAUUGGAGACUAGCGAGCUAGAAUGUGGGAGAGGUAAAGGGAAUUCCUGGUGUAGCGGUGAAAUGCGUAGAUAUCAGGAGGAACAUCGGUGGCGAAAGCGAUUUACUGGAACAUGAUUGACGCUGAGGAACGAAAGCGAGGGGAGCAAAUGGGAUUAGAUACCCUUGUAGUC
This 440-nucleotide ribosomal RNA is filed under the name uncultured bacterium. Its description in RNAcentral is "partial 16S ribosomal RNA". It matches the Rfam family "Bacterial small subunit ribosomal RNA", at positions 338 to 795 of the family's 1533-position model. The record is from RNAcentral.